This 301-nucleotide ribosomal RNA is filed under the name uncultured bacterium. RNAcentral's name for it is "partial 16S ribosomal RNA". It matches the Rfam family "Bacterial small subunit ribosomal RNA", at positions 509 to 809 of the family's 1533-position model. The record is from RNAcentral.
CAGUAGCCGCGGUAAUACGAAGGGUGCAAGCGUUAAUCGGAAUUACUGGGCGUAAAGCGUGCGUAGGCGGUUUGUUAAGUCUGUUGUGAAAUCCCCGGGCUCAACCUGGGAAUGGCAAUGGAUACUGGCAAGCUAGAGUGUGUCAGAGGAUGGUGGAAUUCCCGGUGUAGCGGUGUAAUGCGUAGAGAUCGGGAGGAACAUCAGUGGCGAAGGCGGCCAUCUGGGACAACACUGACGCUGAGGCACGAAAGCGUGGGGAGCAAACAGGAUUAGAUACCCCAGUAGUCCCUGUCUCUUAUAA